GCGUCGGGAGGUAGGAUAGAGGCUUGCCGCAGACUCUCCGGUCGGCCCCCACGGUCGUGGCGCGCGCGGGCCGGCAGGCCGCUCGGGUCGGUUGGCGGCUGCUCGCUGUCCGCGGAGCUGUUGGGGCACUUCCAGGCACGAAGUAAAUCCGCCAUGUGGAAGGCUCGUGUACAAAGGAAGCCGAUUCAGAUUCUGAGCCAGCAGAGCCGUAUGCAGACUUCGUUCAAACCGUGAACCUGGUUGAUGGCCCCUCCACGCGCAGCUGUGCAUCUGCUUGUGGACGAAUCACCGAAAGGAGAACCGGCUUGUCCUUGAGAUGCCCAUCAACGCACCCUGCAUUCCUUGAUGCUAACCCUAACCCUAAAACUCGUGAUUCCGGCAGUGUGUUAACCUGUGUCUUUGCUUUGCAUCAGCAUUUCCUGUUGUAGUCAGCAGGGUUCAGAGCAACUCUGUGGGAAGAGCCGCGUGUUGUCCGGCAACUGCCGACUGGCGCUUGGUGCCCGCCCAGGACCGCUGUGCCCGUCCAGCUUCUCAGCACCUCAUGGGCGUGUUGCAUUUACUUACUCAUUUUAGAGAAUGAAAGAGAGUGCGAGCAGGGGAUGAGGGAGAGACAGUCCAAGCAGACUCCCAUCGAGUGCGGAGCCAAUGUGGGCAGAUCAUACCCUGAGAUCAGGACCUGAGCUGGAGCCAGGAGUCAGAUGCCCAACAGACUAAGUCCCCCAGAUGCCACACUGGGCAGACCUGGAAAACUUGGAUUUCCCUGCAAGGUCAGGGCCUGCCCACUGACCAGGAAGCUGGCCGAAUGUGGCACCUGGGAGCCCAUGGUGUGGCCAGUCUGCAGGGUGAGUGACUGUCACCAGUUGAGAGCUGCCGUGUCAGAAAGUUUAGAGGACGGUUUCCUGCUACCUGGAGGUUAUACACACAGAGGUAGACUCUUAAUGUGGUGGCAGUUUUUCAGUAUUGGCUGCUACAUCUGCCUAAAUUAAAUUCCUGUAUUAGAAAAAUGCACAUAUUUCAUGCAGUGAAAUGCUGUAGAUACGUGCACUGCCUUUCUGCACAGGA
This is a long non-coding RNA of Lutra lutra (Eurasian river otter), 1062 nucleotides long. RefSeq lists it as uncharacterized. The record is from RefSeq and is a predicted model, not a curated record. The transcript is spliced from 5 exons. Lineage: Eukaryota; Metazoa; Chordata; Mammalia; Carnivora; Mustelidae.